This 29-nucleotide ribosomal RNA is filed under the name Harknessia pellitae. Its description in RNAcentral is "partial 28S ribosomal RNA". Lineage: Eukaryota; Fungi; Ascomycota; Sordariomycetes; Diaporthales; Harknessiaceae. The record is from RNAcentral.
UUUGACCUCGGAUCAGGUAGGAAUACCCG